Molecule: ribosomal RNA, 698 nt
Filed under: bacterium MS-AsIII-26
Lineage: Bacteria
Description: bacterial SSU rRNA
Rfam family: Bacterial small subunit ribosomal RNA
Source: RNAcentral
GUCGUGGGGGAUAACGUAGGGAAACUUACGCUAAUACCGCAUGCGCCCUUCGGGGGAAAGCCGGGACUUCGGGCCUGGCGCGAUUGGAUGAGCCCAUGUCGGAUUAGCUAGUUGGCGAGGUAAAGGCUCACCAAGGCGACGAUCCGUAGCUGGUCUGAGAGGAUGAUCAGCCACACUGGAACUGAGACACGGUCCAGACUCCUACGGGAGGCAGCAGUAGGGAAUAUUGGACAAUGGGCGCAAGCCUGAUCCAGCCAUGCCGCGUGAGUGAAGAAGGCCCUCGGGUUGUAAAGCUCUUUUGUCCGGAAAGAAAAGCAUCGGGUUAAUACCCCGGUGUUCUGACGGUACCGGAAGAAUAAGCACCGGCUAACUUCGUGCCAGCAGCCGCGGUAAUACGAAGGGUGCAAGCGUUACUCGGAAUUACUGGGCGUAAAGCGUGCGUAGGUGGUUCGUUAAGUCCGAUGUGAAAGCCUGGGCUCAACCUGGGAAUGGCAUUGGAUACUGGCGGGCUAGAGUGCGGUAGAGGAUAGUGGAAUUCCUGGUGUAGCAGUGAAAUGCGUAGAGAUCAGGAGGAACAUCCGUGGCGAAGGCGACUGUCUGGACCAGCACUGACACUGAGGCACGAAAGCGUGGGGAGCAAACAGGAUUAGAUACCUGGUAGUCCACGCCCUAAACGAUGCGAACUGGAUGUUGGGCUC